GAUGAACGCUGGCGGCGUGCCUAAUACAUGCAAGUCGAGCGAACGGACGAGAAGCUUGCUUCUCUGAUGUUAGCGGCGGACGGGUGAGUAACACGUGGAUAACCUACCUAUAGGACUGGGAUAACUUCGGGAAACCGGAGCUAAUACCGGAUAAUAUUUUGAACCGCAUGGUUCAAAAGUGAAAGACGGUCUUGCUGUCACUUAUAGAUGGAUCCGCGCUGCAUUAGCUAGUUGGUAAGGUAACGGCUUACCAAGGCAACGAUGCAUAGCCGACCUGAGAGGGUGAUCGGCCACACUGGAACUGAGACACGGUCCAGACUCCUACGGGAGGCAGCAGUAGGGAAUCUUCCGCAAUGGGCGAAAGCCUGACGGAGCAACGCCGCGUGAGUGAUGAAGGUCUUCGGAUCGUAAAACUCUGUUAUUAGGGAAGAACAUAUGUGUAAGUAACUGUGCACAUCUUGACGGUACCUAAUCAGAAAGCCACGGCUAACUACGUG
This 497-nucleotide ribosomal RNA is filed under the name uncultured bacterium. RNAcentral's name for it is "partial 16S ribosomal RNA". It matches the Rfam family "Bacterial small subunit ribosomal RNA", at positions 28 to 507 of the family's 1533-position model. The record is from RNAcentral.